RNAcentral lists this long non-coding RNA (2600 nucleotides) under Triticum aestivum (bread wheat). Its description in RNAcentral is "long non-coding RNA (TAES_LNC020968)". The record is from RNAcentral. Lineage: Eukaryota; Viridiplantae; Streptophyta; Magnoliopsida; Poales; Poaceae.
AUAAUUUGGUAGCACAAAGUCCCAUUCAAAAUCAUGGCAUGUUGAAAAUAUUUCCAUUUUCAGCAACUCUGCUUUAGAAACUACACCCAGGAAGAAUUUACAUCUUAGUCACAUUGGAAACCAUACGGCGUUAGUUAUGCUGUUUACAGAGACAAACGUUGCAGGUAACAAGGGACUUUUAAUAGAAUCAUCACCAGCUCUCACAACCUGGGUAAGUCUCAGUUCUGCAUCUACUAUAAACAAAAAUAUCAUAAUAAAUUGAGGCUAAACCUCUGUGCCUAUGGUAAACAAAAGGAGGGAAACACACCAUAAUUCUUAAAGGACCUAUCCUAGGAUGCAUUUGACCGCUGUACCAUCCUAAAAGUCCUUCCUGAUGCUUCUUAGCUGAUCGCCCUGCGUAUGAGAUUUUGUGCCACCUUCUCAACGCUGAUAAGAGUUCCAUUGAUAAGCUAUUCUAUGGGUUCAAUACCCAUCAAAGUCAAGAGAAAAAGAUCAUGUGAUGCAUCUCAGCUGAUUGAUUGUUUCAUCUCUGCUAAGGUUGUGGAGGUCUAAACUUCUCUGGAAUAGCUGCAACACAAAAGAAUAAACCAUACCAUACUCAAGUUGAUCAGUGCAAAGCUCUUUAUAAAACGGAAACUUCAAAGGCCAUAUAAGGUAAUAUGUUUAUAGGAUUUAGUAAACAAUGGCCGGAAAACAAAAAUAUUUCUCAGUACAGAACAAACUAAGAACAUUUCAACGCUAAAAUAAAACUACAGCAAGCACAAUGGUUCCACUGAACUGUGUAGAUACCUAAUUGCUAAUUUAGGUUGUACGGCUGAUGGAAUCAAACAACAUACAAAGAAUAUCCUUUCAAGUACUCCCUUUGUAAUUUAUAUAAGACCGUUCAGAUCACUAAAGAUUGUAGCUUGGAGUAUAUUAGUUUACAGAGGGAGUAUAGACUGUAGCUUGGAAAGUGAAAACAGUGCAACGCACAUGAGCCUUGCAUGACGUAUACUUCACAAAGAACACAGCCGAACCUGAGUGUACAAAGGUCAUAGGGCUCAAAAACUCGUCAAUCCUUGAACUGGUUACAUUAUAAACAAAUUAAGCUUGUCAUAGAAUAAAACCAUUAUGACCUACUAAAACCCAACCUGACAAAGUGAUCCAUUUCAAAUUUUCAAUACAUAACAUUUGAUGCGUUGUUAAUUGCCAAGUUGUUUAAAUUUUUGGAAUAGAAUCAUGUGGCCCAAACAUAUCUUGUAUUGCCGUUUACGGAAUAAAGGAAAUCAAAAAUAUUUUAACAUUAAUUUAUCUUCCAUCCUAACAAUAGCCUCAUAUAGCACCACAUCUCUAACCUUAAGCUUUUUGAAAAAUGUCAUAUAAAUAUUUUGAACAAAAUAAAUGGCAAACAAAGAAGUAAUAUAUGCACAUAAAAUUCAUGUUUACUGGUUUACUAUGAAUCACUUGAUGAAGGAAGCAAUUGAUUUCAACUAUAAGAAUGAUCAUAUAUUGAUCAUACUCCUAGUGGCUCCAUGGUCAAGGUGAGGUAAGACCUCUGUGGUGACGGGUGAAGCAAAAAUAUGCGGGUAAGUCUCAAAACUGCUGAACUAUACAUUAUGUUUCAUUUCAUGAAGCACACUGAACCAUUGAUACUGCAUUAAAUGGCUAAAGAACCAUAACCUGAAAAGCUGUCAUGGUGAUUCAAUUUCUAAAACAUGUGGCUCUUUUUUGUAAUGUUGGCCAAUUUCAGAAGAUACAAAAAAAGGGCAUGCAAAGAUCAUAAUCUGAACUAGAUGUCUAGAAUUUAUAGAGAAAAUAGAUAUGAUAGUCGAAGCAUGAGGCAAAAAUUCUUUUAGGUCCUGGCACAAAAUCACAAACCCAUAAUUGAUAUCCAAAGGUCACUAUUUUGAAUUCUCGCUAAGCAUGGCAGGCAAAGUAUUAGAGGAUGCAAAUGCUUCUAUUCUCCUUAUUAAUUGUUGCAAUGUAAAUCUGUAAGAUAUACAUGCAAUUCCAGCCAGGAACACACUGACCAAAUACCAUCAAAACCACUAUGGGAAAUUAAGAAUAGGUUCCAACUUUUUGUUCACAGGAAAUAAAGUAAGAAAAGAAUAUACCAAAAUUUUAAUAUGAGUUGUAGAGAGGUGGGGAACCAUGAUCCUUCUUCGGGAAGAGACACCAACGGCUGGGCGUCGGAGGGCUCUUCUAACACACAUAAAGCAGAUACAUCAUCUGCAAACCAUGCCCUUGCUCAGGUUGGAGCCUCAUUUGAAGAACAGAUGCCUAUAGAACAAAAACGGGGUCAACGGCCUUGAUGCUCUUUCUAGGUGGAAAAGGCCAUCAUGGAGAAACUUCUAAAGAAAUACAAUAGAGAACAAAUGGCCGUCAGAAGAGUUCAGAUAGUUUCCUCAAAACCAGAGCAAAAUAAUAAAUAAUAAACAACCAUAUGUUCACUUGUUUAGGAUGUUUUCGGUCAUACAGACCACAUUUCUGGUCCCUUUCCCACUAUAUCUUAACUCGUUUUCUGAUCACAGCUACACGACCAUGUGUCAUAAAAAUACCAGUUUUGUAGAGAACUUGUCGCCAAAUGGUGUAUCAUUAUCAAGAAAAUUUGGAUGAAGGAC